Molecule: ribosomal RNA, 1185 nt
Filed under: Triticum aestivum (bread wheat)
Lineage: Eukaryota; Viridiplantae; Streptophyta; Magnoliopsida; Poales; Poaceae
Description: partial small subunit ribosomal RNA
Source: RNAcentral
AUGCUAGUUAAAGGAUCUCACUCCGGGCUGAUUAGAGGGCUGUGUCCUGAAUUGGUGCCUGGAGGGGUUAUGUGUUUGCAAUAUGCUGAUGAUACCUUAUUAUUUCUAGAAAAAGAUAGUAGAGUGGCUUUGAAUCUUAAAUGGAUUCUUACCUGUUUUGAACAGGUGUCUGGUAUGAGGAUCAACUAUCAUAAGAGUGCUUUAGUCCCUAUUAAUGUUGCUCCUCAAGAGUUAGAUGAGUUUGUAGAUAUUUUUCAAUGUGUAGUGGGAGCUUUCCCAAUUAAAUAUUUAGGUAUUCCCUUGCAUUUUGAUAAAUUGAGUAGAGAGGACCUGCAGUUCCUGAUAGAUAAGAUCUUAGCCAGAAUAGUUGGUUGGAGAGGGAAGUUGCUGUCCUACCUAGGGAAAAUUAUUCUUAUCAAAACAUGUUUAGCCAGCAUUCCUCUUUACUUGUUGUCUUUUUUAAAAUUUCCAAAGUGGGCACUUAAUUUGAUUAAUUCUCACAUGGCUAAUUGUUUGUGGAGUGACACUGAUGGUGCUCACAAAAUCCAUUUAGCUAACUGGCCUUCCAUUUGUAUGAAGAAAGAGUUUGGAGGGAUGGGGGUCCCAAACCUCCAGGAUAUGAACCUUUGCCUAAUUGGUUCCUGGGUUAAGAGAUACAUAGCUGGAGAGGGAUCUCUGUGGAGAAAGAUUGUAGAUAGUAAAUAUAAUACUAAAAAUCCUAAUAUUCUGUGCUGUAGAGACCCACACCCUUCCCAGUUCUGGAAGAGUUUUAUGUGGGCCCUGCAGGUAGUGAAGAUGGGAUAUAAAUGGCAAAUAGGUGAUGGUAGAUUGGUUAGACUAUGGGAAGAUACCUGGUAUGGUAACACUCCCCUAGCCACACAGUACUGGGACUUAUAUGUUUUGGUUAAUGAGAAGAAUAAAACCAUUGCAGAUCUCUGGGAUGGACAGGAGCUCAAAUGCUCCUUUAGAAGGACCUUCUCGGAUGAACUGAUGUUACAAUGGUUUGAAUUGAUCGAAAUUCUUUCCCUGACUGACUUUACUCAGGGAACAGAUUCUUUGAUUUGGAAGUAUGAGUCUAAAGGAAUUUAUUCUUCUAAAUCUCUAUAUGCUAUUGUUAAUUUCAGGGGGGUGCAGCCUAUUUACCUCCCUGCUGUUUGGAGUGUGAAAGUACCAACUAGAGUUUAA